ACAAGCGGCGGAGCAUGCGGAUUAAUUCGAUGCAACGCGAAGAACCUUACCAAGGCUUGACAUACACCGGUAACGCCCAGAGAUGGGUGCCCCUUUGUGGUCGGUGUACAGGUGGUGCAUGGUUGUCGUCAGCUCGUGUCGUGAGAUGUUGGGUUAAGUCCCGCAACGAGCGCAACCCUCGUCCUAUGUUGCCAGCGGGUCAUGCCGGGGACUCAUGGGAGACUGCCGGGGUCAACUCGGAGGAAGGUGGGGAUGACGUCAAAUCAUCAUGCCCCUUAUGUCUUGGGCUUCACGCAUGCUACAAUGGCCGGUACAAAGGGCUGCGAUACCGCGAGGUGGAGCGAAUCCCAGAAAGCCGGUCUCAGUUCGGAUUGGGGUCUGCAACUCGACCCCAUGAAGUCGGAGUCGCUAGUAAUCGCAGAUCAGCAACGCUGCGGUGAAUAACGUUCCCGGGGCCCUU
RNAcentral lists this ribosomal RNA (460 nucleotides) under uncultured Curtobacterium sp. RNAcentral describes it as "bacterial SSU rRNA". It matches the Rfam family "Bacterial small subunit ribosomal RNA", at positions 925 to 1380 of the family's 1533-position model. The record is from RNAcentral. Lineage: Bacteria; Bacillati; Actinomycetota; Actinomycetes; Micrococcales; Microbacteriaceae.